GAUGAACGCUGACAGCAUGCUUAACACAUCAGCCAUUGAUUGGAGGCGGACGGGUGAGUAACGCGUAAAGCACUUGCCUCACUGCUAGGGACAACAUCUCGAAAUGAAUGCUACUACCAGAUACUGUGAGAGAGCUUUGCGUCCCAUUAGCUAGUUGGCGAGGUAACAGCUCACAAAGGCGAUGAUGGGUAGCCGACCUGAGAGGGUGAACGGCAACAAGGGGACUGAGACACGGCCCUUACUCCUACGGGAGGCAGCAGUGGGGAAUAUUGGACAAUGGACCGAAGGCUGAUACAGCAAUUCUGUGUGCACGAUGAAGUUUUCGGAAUGUAAAGUGCUUUCAGUUGGGAAGCGGUACCAACAGAAGAAGGGACGGCUAAAUACGUGCCAGCAGCCGCGGUAAUUC
This 406-nucleotide ribosomal RNA is filed under the name uncultured bacterium. RNAcentral's name for it is "partial 16S ribosomal RNA". It matches the Rfam family "Bacterial small subunit ribosomal RNA", at positions 28 to 526 of the family's 1533-position model. The record is from RNAcentral.